UNUUACCAGAAAGGGACGGCUAACUACGUGCCAGCAGCCGCGGUAAUACGUAGGUCCCGAGCGUUNUCCGGAUUUAUUGGGCGUAAAGCGAGCGCAGGCGGUUAGAUAAGUNUGAAGUUAAAGGCUGUGGCUUAACCAUAGUAUGCUUUGGAAACUGUUUAACUNGAGUGCAGAAGGGGAGAGUGGAAUUCCAUGUGUAGCGGUGAAAUGCGUAGAUAUAUGGAGGAACACCGGUGGCGAAAGCGGCUCUCUGGUCUGUAACUGACGCUGAGGCUCGAAAGCGUGGGGAGCAAACAGGAUUAGAUACCCUGGUAGUCCACGCCGUAAACGAUGAGUGCUAGGUGUUAGGCCCUUUCCGGGGCUUAGUGCCGCAGCUAACGCAUUAAGCACUCCGCCUGGGGAGUACGACCGCAAGGUUGAAACUCAAAGGAAUUGACGGGGGCCCGCACAAGCGGUGGAGCAUGUGGCUUAAUUCGAAGCAACGCGAAGAACCUUACCAGGUCUUGACAUCCCUCUGACCGCUCUAGAGAUAGAGUUUUCCUUCGGGACAGAGGUGACAGGUGGUGCAUGGUUGUCGUCAGCUCGUGUCGUGAGAUGUUGGGUUAAGUCCCGCAACGAGCGCAACCCCUAUUGUUAGUUGCCAUCAUUCAGUUGGGCACUCUAGCGAGACUGCCGGUAAUAAACCGGAGGAAGGUGGGGAUGACGUCAAAUCAUCAUGCCCCUUAUGACCUGGGCUACACACGUGCUACAAUGGCUGGUACAACGAGUCGCAAGCCGGUGACGGCAAGCUAAUCUCUGAAAGCCAGUCUCAGUUCGGAUUGUAGGCUGCAACUCGCCUACAUGAAGUCGGAAUCGCUAGUAAUCGCGGAUCAGCACGCCGCGGUGAAUACGUUCCCGGGCCUUGUACACACCGCCCGUCACACCACGAGAGUUUGUAACACCCGAAGUCGGUGAGGUAACCGUAAGGAGC
This 970-nucleotide ribosomal RNA is filed under the name uncultured bacterium. RNAcentral's name for it is "bacterial SSU rRNA". It matches the Rfam family "Bacterial small subunit ribosomal RNA", at positions 478 to 1449 of the family's 1533-position model. The record is from RNAcentral.